This is a long non-coding RNA of Thrips palmi, 1158 nucleotides long. RefSeq lists it as uncharacterized. NCBI's taxonomy places the organism in Eukaryota, Metazoa, Arthropoda, Insecta, Thysanoptera, Thripidae. The record is from RefSeq and is a predicted model, not a curated record. The transcript has 4 exons.
CUGUAUUGGAAGAUGAAGAUGAGGGAAUUGAGGCUGAAGAAGAAAAUGUUGAUGAGCCAGCUGUGGUUGUUGAAAACAAUACAAGACGGGUUAGAGCUGGAAACAAAUUGCACCACCUCAAACAUCUGGCCGAACAGUUGGAAGAACUUGCAUGUCUUAUCAGGUAUUGGACAGCUCGAUAUGAAGGACGGCACAAAAUUUUCUCCCAGUAUGGUGCAGUGUGCUGUAACUUUAUCAACUCACCCAAGUCCAUGGCACAGAUGUUUCAAAUGAGCACUCUGGCUGGCUAUCAAAAUACAACUCCUAGAGGAGAAGAUAUAGAGGUGUCUGCGGAAGGUGAGGUUCCUGUUGAAGCAACCGAUCACAGUGCCAUGUUAAUUGCUGCUGGACUCAUCCCAGGGAGCCUGGUUGAAAUAUGUCGCAGUGUGAAAGUUGCUGGUGACGAAUACAGGCCAGGCCUCUUUGUGCUGUAUGAUGUCCAACCAACAUUUGCCAUCAUCCAACGGAUUUAUGUGUGCAGACAAGAUGUUUACUUCAUCGUGCAACCAUGGGUUACCGAGGGAUUUGUCAACAGAUUUUGUGCUUAUGAAGUGACACCAUCAGCAGUCCAUCAGCAUUUGGUGAUGGAACACAAACAUCUUGCCAAUCAUCGCUGCUUUGCACCGUGGAAUCCAUGGCGAAGUAGACGCACAUUCAUUGCACCAAGGACAAUAAUAUUCUAGAGGCAGCACCCUGCAGGUUCCAUGAGAAAGAUCAGCUCUUGCUGCAGAAGCUGGUGUAUGAAUCGGUUUAUCUUUUGACAAGACCUUGCUGCCAAAAGUUAAAUGAUGCGCUCAAUUUACUCAACUACAAAGCAGCUUGAAGUUUAAUUGCCAAACCCUAUUUCAAUCUUUGUAGAUUACAUGAGAAUGGAUUGCAAAAGGGGCUUGACAUUAAAUCAGCUGAGGCCAGUUCAAUCUCUACAGACCAGCCAUACAUAAUUCAAGAUUGGUGACUAUUCUCUGAGCUUGAAACAUCUACUCGCCCUGUUACCAAGACCAGUUUGAAGUACACGUAUUGAAGAGCAAGCCAAUGGUAUUGAUAUAUCUUGUCUUUACUGUCACAUUUAGUUUUGAUUGAGUAUUUUUUCAGAAGUUCUGAGCUUAAUGCCUUUCUCUU